UCUCUCUGUUUAAUUAUUAGUGGUGACUCUGAACGCUGCAUUUGGGUUUUGUAUUGAAGCUUAAGUUGGCAGCAAAUGGAGAAGGUAUCCAGUUCUAAAGAACAACCCAACCCAUCUAAGCAUGGACUGACCCAACAGCGAGCCCAUACUGGACGGGCCAAUUAGACUCUCCCCGUCCCCAGCCGGCAGCCCUCUUCUUCCAGGCUCCAGAGCUCCAUAAAAAUUGGAGCUGUUGCAGAUUUCCCACAAAUUGCGAAGUGAAAAAGUCAAGCUUCUAAAGCCAAGUGCUUGCUCUUCCUCGGUUCAUCCCAUUUAAGACACUUAACUGCACCCAACUUGUUUGAGAGAGCCACAAAUACAGGCUGGGGAGCUGAAGAAGAUAGACUAUCAAGAUGGGCUCAAGACAAAUUCGAGGGUGGUUCGGCAGUAAGGGAUGGAAGACUUGAUCAGUCUAGCGUUCCAGACUUACUGAGAAAGAUUCACAUAAUUCCUGAGCAAAAUUCAGUGAUACAGGCGAGAAAAUAUCCUAUGAAAGAAAUGAUUCGAAUGCAAAACAUUCAGACAGAAGAUUUGUUGAGAAACACAAGGAGAAUGUAAUGAAGCACAAGAAUGAUUUGGAUAAGGUAGAUAACGCUAAAAGUUCAUGGAGAAAUGAUGACGAACCAAUGUCGAGAAGAGAUUACGGUACGAUAGAUGAACGAGUACUAUCAUAAAGAAGACGGGCAUGGUUGCCUGCCUAUCAAAAAACACUUCGGUCUUUAUAAUGUCACCGUCUGGUUUGAUCCAUUGUUGAGCUUAUGCCUUGAGUUUUUGCUGCCACAGAAUGGCUGUUCAUUGAGAUUCUGACUUGUAAAUCUCUGGUUUGGAUGGAUUGCAAUUCACUACAAUUGCAGUCCAACAAAUGGAAGGAUUUAGUAGUAAUCAUGAAGGAUUAUGGCAAGCAAUAUAUUCCUUUUCUUUACCUUGAAA
Olea europaea var. sylvestris is the source of this 969-nucleotide long non-coding RNA. RefSeq lists it as uncharacterized. The transcript has 2 exons. The record is from RefSeq and is a predicted model, not a curated record. NCBI's taxonomy places the organism in Eukaryota, Viridiplantae, Streptophyta, Magnoliopsida, Lamiales, Oleaceae.